AAAACAAUUAUGAAGAAACAGGCUAAUUCCACUGCUUUUCCAAAAUAGAUUCAUCAUCGGUUAUUCACAGAUCAUUGUUCAAUUGAUUAUUGUUUAAGUUUCAAAUUAAUUAAAGUACAUUCUUAAUUAAUUUGAUGGCGACCAUGCAGUUAAUCAAAGUACAUUCUCAAUCAAAUGCAAGACCUUUCUAGAUUAUUCANAAUAAAUUCAACCAAAGUACAUUCUCAAUCAAGUUUAUUGUGUUUAAUCAUGUCUAUUNUUAANUCUCUUAACCAAAUUAAAAGUUAAUCAAUCAAAGUAAAUUCUCAAUUGAUUUUAGUUGAAAUUAUUACUACCAACCAAAGUACAUUCUCAAUUGAUAGUAAAAACCAUUUAAUCAUAUGAAAGUUCCUAAAUUAAAUCAAAGUAGAUUCUCAAUUAAACCUAGAAACCCUAGAACUCGUAUAAUUAAUAUGCAUGUAGAUUCAAACACAUAAUGAUGCAAAAAUCUUUGCUUUUAAUAUGAUAGAGAGAUGAAAGACAUAGAAAGAGAACAACUUAAAUCAAUAAUCAAAAUAAACAAUUGCAUUAAUUCACUUAACCUCAGAAUCCAUAAUGAAAUUACAGUAGAAUAGCCCU
Molecule: long non-coding RNA, 618 nt
Filed under: Vigna radiata
Lineage: Eukaryota; Viridiplantae; Streptophyta; Magnoliopsida; Fabales; Fabaceae
Description: long non-coding RNA (VRAD_LNC000548)
Source: RNAcentral